CAAAUUAGAACUUGGUAAGAUAAGUAUUUCAUUUACAUUGAAAGUGAGUUGUGCAAAUCAAUAUAGUUUGA
This 71-nucleotide transfer RNA is filed under the name Parachauliodes asahinai. RNAcentral's name for it is "tRNA-Val". Lineage: Eukaryota; Metazoa; Arthropoda; Insecta; Megaloptera; Corydalidae. The record is from RNAcentral.